GAUCAUGGCUCAGGAUAAACGCUGGCGGCGUGCCUAAUACAUGCAAGUCGAACGAAGAGAGCUAGCUUGCUAGAGCUCUUAGUGGCGAACGGGUGAGUAAUACAUAAGCAACCUACCUGCAGGGACCGGGAUAACGCUUGGAAACGAGUGCUAAAACCGGAUAGGUAAUAACGGGGCAUCCCGAUAUUAUUAAAGGAGAGAAACAUAAGCAGAUGGGCUUAUGGUGCAUUAGUUAGUUGGUG
Molecule: ribosomal RNA, 242 nt
Filed under: uncultured bacterium
Lineage: Bacteria
Description: partial 16S ribosomal RNA
Rfam family: Bacterial small subunit ribosomal RNA
Source: RNAcentral